Non-coding RNA from Pseudoalteromonas piscicida, 118 nucleotides. Lineage: Bacteria; Pseudomonadati; Pseudomonadota; Gammaproteobacteria; Alteromonadales; Pseudoalteromonadaceae. The record is from Rfam.
CACCCGAAAAGCAUAAGCCGAUAUGCAAUGUGCCGACAGGAUGUCGGCUAAGUCUUGUCUGGCACACGGACGUGCCUUACAAGACGGUUGCACUAUAUCGGCUUAAGAUUUGAGGAUU